This 441-nucleotide ribosomal RNA is filed under the name uncultured bacterium. Its description in RNAcentral is "partial 16S ribosomal RNA". It matches the Rfam family "Bacterial small subunit ribosomal RNA", at positions 338 to 795 of the family's 1533-position model. The record is from RNAcentral.
CCUACGGGUGGCAGCAGUAGGGAAUUUUGCGCAAUGGGGGAAACCCUGACGCAGCAACGCCGCGUGAUCGAUGAAGCUCUUCGGGGUGUAAAGAUCUGUCAGUGGGGACGAAACCUGACGGUACCCACAGAGGAAGCACCGGCUAACUCCGGGCCAGCAGCCGCGGCAAUACGGGGGGGGCAAGCGUUGUCCGGAAUCAUUGGGCGUAAAGAGUCCGUAGGUGGUACGUGAAGUCUGGUGGUAAAGGCGUAGGCUCAACUUCCGUAGGGCACUGGAUACUGGCGAGCUUGAGUGCGGUAGAGGUAAAGGGAAUUCCUGGUGUAGCGGUGAAAUGCGUAGAUAUAAGGAGGAACAUCAGUGGCGUAAGCGCUUUACUGGGCCGUAAUUGACGCUGAGGAGCGAAAGCCGGGGUAGCAAAUGGGAUUAGAUACCCCAGUAGUC